GCGAGAUCACACGCCCGAGCCGGGUGUGCGAACGUUAAACUGACGGCGAAGUGCCAGGCGCAGCCCCGUGCCCUUCGACCAGAAUCAGCCAGCAGCCGCUGCAACCCCAGGGAG
This 114-nucleotide small RNA is filed under the name Actinacidiphila rubida. RNAcentral's name for it is "Streptomyces rubidus Streptomyces-metK RNA". It matches the Rfam family "Streptomyces-metK RNA". Lineage: Bacteria; Bacillati; Actinomycetota; Actinomycetes; Kitasatosporales; Streptomycetaceae. The record is from Rfam by way of RNAcentral.